AGAGUUUGAUCCUGGCUCAGGACGAACGCUGGCGGCGUUAACACAUGCAAGUCGAACGGUGAAAGAGGAGCUUGCUCCUCUGGAUCAGUGGCGAACGGGUGAGUAACACGUGAGAACCUGCCCUUGACUCUGGGAUAAGCGUUGGAAACGACGUCUAAUACCGGAUAUGAACCGUGGAGGCAUCUCCUGCGGUUGGAAAGAACUUCGGUCAAGGAUGGACUCGCGGCCUAUCAGCUAGUUGGUGAGGUAACGGCUCACCAAGGCGACGACGGGUAGCCGGCCUGAGAGGGUGACCGGCCACACUGGGACUGAGACACGGCCCAGACUCCUACGGGAGGCAGCAGUGGGGAAUAUUGCACAAUGGGCGAAAGCCUGAUGCAGCAACGCCGCGUGAGGGACGACGGCCUUCGGGUUGUAAACCUCUUUUAGCAGGGAAGAAGCGAAAGUGACGGUACCUGCAGAAAAAGCACCGGCUAACUACGUGCCAGCAGCCGCGGUAAUACGUAGGGUGCAAGCGUUGUCCGGAAUUAUUGGGCGUAAAGAGCUCGUAGGCGGUUUGUCGCGUCUGCUGUGAAAACGCGAGGCUCAACCUCGCGCCUGCAGUGGGUACGGGCAGACUAGAGUGCGGUAGGGGAGAUUGGAACUCCUGGUGUAGCGGUGGAAUGCGCAGAUAUCAGGAGGAACACCGAUGGCGAAGGCAGAUCUCUGGGCCGUAACUGACGCUGAGGAGCGAAAGCGUGGGGAGCGAACAGGAUUAGAUACCCUAGUAGUCC
RNAcentral lists this ribosomal RNA (773 nucleotides) under uncultured bacterium. Its description in RNAcentral is "bacterial SSU rRNA". It matches the Rfam family "Bacterial small subunit ribosomal RNA", at positions 8 to 796 of the family's 1533-position model. The record is from RNAcentral.